RNAcentral lists this long non-coding RNA (2266 nucleotides) under Venturia canescens. Its description in RNAcentral is "uncharacterized LOC122416859". The record is from RNAcentral. Lineage: Eukaryota; Metazoa; Arthropoda; Insecta; Hymenoptera; Ichneumonidae.
UGAUCUUUGUGUUCUCAUUUGAACUCUAAAUCAUGACAUUGAGUUACAUAAAUCAUAAAAAUAUUAUGAAUACAAUAUGAAUUAUUUUAUUUUGCAGUGUUUAUUCGCGCCACUGCUGGGUUUUUCAUUAUUACAUUUAUGUUUGAGUUGUACGUGUCUGUAAACUCACAGACAUCAACAUCGAUUAUUGGUACAGUCGUUCCACUAGAAAAUGGACAGAACGUAAGUCUCGCAGCCGUGGAUUUCGUCGAAAACCUCUUUCGGAAAUUCGCAUACCGUUACACUACGCGUUUAAACGCAAUCAAACAGAAAAUUUUUGUUCAAUCACUCAGUGAAUUGCAGAAAGUCCAUAAUUGUUGGUAAUUCUCAUUCCUGCGAACUAACAACUAAUUCGUUUCAUUGUACAAACAAGAAUCAUACGACGAUUCUUUUAUGAAGGACAGAGUUGUUUCACUCUGGAGCGCUUUUUUCCUUUUAUCUCUUUUUUCGUAUCAAGAUGAAGAAAGCAUAAGAAACGAAUAUUUACGAUUACUCGAGCUUCCAGCCAACAAAACAGAGAUUGCUAAAGUUAGUUAUGGAAAACUCUGGAAUGCAGCAGCCACGAUGUGCAACUCAACACGGAUGUGAUGGUUGUCAAUACUAUCAAAUUUGCAAGAACUUGGAAAAUGCCAUUCGUCACCUCUAACACUACAUCACAUUACUUCUACCUGCUUGAUUCUUUCAAUAAUAAGGUACCUCCGACAAACGUACCGACCAUGCAUACAUCUGGUCGUUUCCGACAUGGCCAGAUCCCUGAUUUACGUGCAACGUUUGUCGAACUUCCUUUCGGGAGCAACGGCGCUGACGAUCCAAUAAGCAUGUUCAUAAUGCGUCCGGAUAUCCCUAAUUUGAUUGAGUUGCGGUAGAACAAUUUUGCAAACCUAAAUCUGAAUUCAUUACUCAACAGUAUGGAAAACGACAUUGAUUUGUAUCUUCCAAAGUUUUCAUUUGUCCAAAAAACAAAGUAGAAGUAACCAGUUUGCUGAACACUGUCGGGGUUAACAGAGCUCGAUUUCUCCCGAAUUAUAGCCUUUUUUCGAGUCAAGAUUAUAUGAUCAUCCGUGAGACACUUUCGGUCGUCGUCAAUGAAACAGGCUACUUCCUUGAAGAAUCGACUGGACUUAUAACCCGGCUUAUCUGCUUUCGAAACGACAAAAAUGAUCGGUUCCAUCGCCAGUAAAAUUUGGGAUGAAUUAUCCUUUUAUUGCGAUCAUUGGAGUCAAAGGGAAAUCCUUCAAUCCUUUAUUGGUUACGAAGUUUGCUGGCCGUGUAUUUGUCCUCGAGUUAGAUGAUCCAUCGUAUUAUAUACUGAAGCAUUCAUAAAAAUGAAUUAUGUUUUUUUGAAAGAUCACGAUUCAAUAGUUGUAAUAAGUAGACAAAAUUGGAUCUCUUAAAAUUUUUUUUAGCGGUUCCAUCAUGGUUUUCUAUUUUUCAUUCAGAUGAAAUAUAUAAGGCAAUUGCAUGUGAGGAUUUGAAAGUUCUUUCAAUUCCCAACGAAUCAGCGAGUCCUGAAGAAACAAGAAAAAAGUGCCAACUUGGGACUUCAGUAGACAUAUGAGACCCAAAUUAAGUACCAAAUGGAACUUUAUUUUUCACUAAAUUGGGAUCUAAUUUGUCGUUAUAAGUCUCGUAUUGGGAUCCGAAAUCCUACGUAGGGUUUUUUAUAGCCCUAUUUGAAUCGAAUUUGGACUGAAUCUGGAACCGAGUAUGGAAGAAAAAAGUCCUAUUUCGGAAUUAAUUAUUCAUUAAAUCGGAAGAUUUCCCAUAAAAAAUAUCGAUGUUAAGGUUCUUGGGUAGAAUUCCUACUUUUUCAUACCAGGAGAGCCAGGACAGUUCAGAUUCGUUCCGUCUCAAAAUUUUGGUGCGGACUCUAUUCCAACUUUUUUUGUUAAAUUUUUGAGCGACGAUUAAUUGAAAAAAAGAAUUUUCUUACUUAGAUUAAAAAAUGAUUUUUCUCCGUUUCCAGAUGAGAAGACUUAUCACUCAUUAUUCAUAAGAAAUAAAAAUUGAGACAAAAUUAUCAGAAUCAAAAAUAGCUUCACUUGCGCAAGAAUUGUAUCGAGUUUCAAGAGUGAGAAAAUAAGUCAACAGCUCAAUUUUUAAUUUAGACCGAAAUAAAAUUAGAUCGUUUUUCAUUCGCAAAAAUGAUUAAUUACAAAAAAUGUCGGAAAUACAAAUUUUCACAUGUGAUUUUAACAAAAUUUCGUAUAUUAUAUUGUGAAUUUAA